This 445-nucleotide ribosomal RNA is filed under the name uncultured bacterium. RNAcentral's name for it is "bacterial SSU rRNA". It matches the Rfam family "Bacterial small subunit ribosomal RNA", at positions 331 to 793 of the family's 1533-position model. The record is from RNAcentral.
CCAGACUCCUACGGGAGGCAGCAGUGGGGGAUAUUGCACAAUGGGGGAAACCCUGAUGCAGCGACGCCGCGUGGGUGAAGAAGCGCCUCGGCGCGUAAAGCCCUGUCAGCAGGGAAGAAAAUGACGGUACCUGAAGAAGAAGCCCCGGCUAACUACGUGCCAGCAGCCGCGGUAAUACGUAGGGGGCAAGCGUUAUCCGGAUUUACUGGGUGUAAAGGGGGCGCAGACGGCAGCGCAAGCCAGGAGUGAAAGCCCGGGGCCCAACCCCGGGACUGCUCUUGGAACUGCGCGGCUGGAGUGCGGGAGGGGCAGGCGGAAUUCCUGGUGUAGCGGUGAAAUGCGUAGAUAUCAGGAGGAACACCGGUGGCGAAGGCGGCCUGCUGGACUGCGACUGACGUUGAGGCCCGAAAGCGUGGGGAGCAAACAGGAUUAGAUACCCCCGUAA